RNAcentral lists this ribosomal RNA (253 nucleotides) under uncultured bacterium. RNAcentral describes it as "partial 16S ribosomal RNA". It matches the Rfam family "Bacterial small subunit ribosomal RNA", at positions 524 to 776 of the family's 1533-position model. The record is from RNAcentral.
UACGUAGGGGGCAAGCGUUGUCCGGAAUCAUUGGGCGUAAAGCGCGUGUAGGCGGCCAGAAAAGUCCGCUGUGAAAACUCGAGGCUCAACUUCGAGCUGUCGGUGGAAACUAUCUGGCUAGAGUCCGGAAGAGGAGAAUGGAAUUCCUGGUGUAGCGGUGAAAUGCGCAGAUAUCAGGAAGAACACCCGUGGCGAAGGCGGUUCUCUGGGACGGUACUGACGCUGAGACGCGAAAGCGUGGGGAGCGAACAGG